Molecule: unclassified non-coding RNA, 21 nt
Filed under: Chlamydomonas reinhardtii
Lineage: Eukaryota; Viridiplantae; Chlorophyta; Chlorophyceae; Chlamydomonadales; Chlamydomonadaceae
Description: small RNA Cre_0476
Source: RNAcentral
AGCGCGCGGCGGGCGGCGGUG